RNAcentral lists this small nuclear RNA (107 nucleotides) under Phocoena sinus (vaquita). Lineage: Eukaryota; Metazoa; Chordata; Mammalia; Artiodactyla; Phocoenidae. The record is from RNAcentral. RNAcentral also lists the same sequence under 1 other name.
GGGCUCGCUUCGGCAGCACAUAUACUAAAACUGGGACGAUACAGAGAAGAUUAGCAUGGCCCCUGCGCAAGGAUGACACACAAAUUCGUGAAGCGUUCCAUGUUUUU